Molecule: long non-coding RNA, 1303 nt
Organism: Hypanus sabinus (Atlantic stingray)
Lineage: Eukaryota; Metazoa; Chordata; Chondrichthyes; Myliobatiformes; Dasyatidae
Exons: 3
Source: RefSeq, a predicted model, not a curated record
UUGGAAUUUUACCCCACUGCCAGUUGCUACAUUAAAGAAAGUCAACUUGGGACAUCUUUUUCAGUGUAGUAAUUGGGGAGGGUGUAUAUUUGCCUGUCAAUUCAUGCAAGGUGUGUGAAGAGGACAGGAAAGUUGAGCUGUUUCAUCACGUUUGCUGAGCUUUAAACGGGCAUCUCAGGGUUCGCUACCACAACAAGUCUCAAGACAAGAUCCAAAGAGUAACCAGUUGCAUCCAGGCAUUCUGAUUCCACAGAAUGAUGUCAUUCAACCAAGUCUGAUGUGUCUUCCACCCAGUGACGGAUAGCAGAUGUUCUGCUCGCCCUGCGAGUGAUUUGCAAUUUGAGAAAAUGAUGCCUGUAAAGCCUGUUUAAACCCUGACUGAGCACCAGGCAAACAAAGAAUGAGAAGAAAGUGCUUAUGAUGAGCAGCUGAUCAAAUGCUGGAAGUGAGUUUGGAACCCAACGAGAUUGCUGUAGAGCUCAGCAUUUCCACCUUUCACCUUUAUUUCACAUCUCUUGCACCUGUAUUGUUCUGCAUCUCAGCCCUCCAACUUUAUCUUUCUGUUCUCUCACCUCUUAUUCAUUUCCUACUGAUAUCCUCUCUGAAAAGAUUAGUUGUAAUUAACUAUACUGCUUCGCCCCACCUACUCACCAUCAUCAGUUUCAAUGUGCCCACCACAUACAUUCCUCUGCUCCCUUCACCUAUCACCCUUCUCUGCAAUUGUUUCUCACAUCUGCAAGUUGUGAUGAAAGGUUAUUGACCUUUCUCUCUCACCAGCUGCUGCCCGAACUGUUGGCUUCUUUGAUAUUCUGGAAUUUGUGAAAAAUUCUGUUCAUGAAGUUUCACAUAAACUUCCUUUUCAUUGCAGCAGAAGCCUCUGAUCUGUAUUCACAGGUGAUCUAUUGCCAAAAUGUGCAGAAGCUGAGAGUAUUUUUCCUGUAAAUUGAGUUUAGGUGGACCUCAUGCUCAUGUCAUUGGAAUCAUGUUAUAAUUAAAAUCAAACAGAACAUUGAGAUCUUGAUAUAGUUUUUCAAAAUGUGCAACUCAUUAGGCAUCCUGGAUCUUGCAACUGCUUCAGUUUUUGUGCUUUCAGUAGUUUUCUUGUGUUCAGUAGUCAGUAUAUUCAGUAGCUUCAUGUUCAAGAGGCAGUUUAAUGCCCACUUUAAAGUCACAUGAUCAAUACAAAGAAGUCACAUGCAUCUAUUUUAUCCAUCCACCCAGAACAUUCAAAUUCUUUUCUCCCUUGUUGUGCAUCAAUAGUCGUUAUGGAGCCAAGCCCGGAGAUACUAAACAGUUGGGUAAC